CAAGAGGCAUUAUGAUACAUCAAGGACACACUCCUACCAGGCAGAAGUGCCAGCUUGAAGAAAGAUAUUUGGAUGGCCCAGACAAGAAUGGUACCACUUUAAACAGUCAUGGCUUCCCCACAAGAAUUCUGGAGGCUGCCGUUUCCUAAGGUGCUGGGAGUUGUUAGGAGACUCCCUAUUUCAUGGACGAAAAGGCUAUCAGUGACUGCUAAGCCUGGUGCUUACGUUCUGUCUUCAUUGCUGGAGGCAACGUGCUUCUGAAUACCAGUUGCUGGAAACAGCAGGAGGGGAAAGUGCUCUAAGAAAGUGGAGCAGAUCAAAACAUAAAAUGCAUCAUUGAGCAAAACAAAUUGACAGGGUUAGCGGAGCCUGUCAGCAAGUGUUAAUUCUCAGUAAGUUUAGCUCCGACAGAAAAAAAUCAGCUUGCUAAGCCCAAGAAUCCAGGGAGUUCUCCUUAAGCACCUCCUCCUGUUUAAAAGAUUGCAAAAUGACCUUUAGGACAGCUUGCAAGCUGAAUGUGCUUGCUAAUGGCACUUGGUGGCUGGUGGCUACUAGCUACUGCACAGAUGCCUGGCUGGGCGAGGGGAUGGAGUCAAACUGUUUGGCAAUCUGAUGGUAGCCAACAAGGGAGACGUGGUGGGGAAAUGAGUUAUGAAAGUGACCU
This is a long non-coding RNA of Podarcis raffonei (Aeolian wall lizard), 664 nucleotides long. RefSeq lists it as uncharacterized. NCBI's taxonomy places the organism in Eukaryota, Metazoa, Chordata, Lepidosauria, Squamata, Lacertidae. The transcript is spliced from 3 exons. The record is from RefSeq and is a predicted model, not a curated record.